Chinchilla lanigera (long-tailed chinchilla) is the source of this 414-nucleotide long non-coding RNA. RefSeq lists it as uncharacterized. The record is from RefSeq and is a predicted model, not a curated record. NCBI's taxonomy places the organism in Eukaryota, Metazoa, Chordata, Mammalia, Rodentia, Chinchillidae. The transcript has 4 exons.
CCUAGAGAAUGCUAUGAUUUGAAUGUUCCCACUGAAACUACCAUUGUAAUUUAAUCCUCAUGGCAUAGCCACACCAAUGAAAGCUGCCCUUUCUACCCUUCUACGCCCAUCUCUUUGGCAUUUUGGGACAGGUGGAUAAGCCUCGUCUGUUGUGACUCCUGGAGCUAGGUCCUGCUGUCUUGGUAGCAGUCCAUCUCCGAGGACUCCUGGGGAGAGGAUCCAAGCGCAGCCUGAUACCCAGUGUGCAUCCGACAAAUGUCAUAACAACAGCUGCCAUUCUGUGGGAAGACAUGUACAUUUUACACAUGCACUUUAAUGCAAGAAGCCUCGAAGAGAAGGCUCCUAAGACAAAUAGGAAUUUAGUUGGCCCAAACAAAACAAACCAAAAAUUCGUGUGGGAUUUCUGGAGUCCUG